GAUCCAAGAAUAUAUCUAUCAUGAGGAAAUAACAUAUGAAGAGCAUCAUACGGAACAUGAGAAGCUUAUAAGACUAUGGUGGAAGAUCUAAAGGACGGUCAACUAGAAGUCAAUGCCUUAGAAGAAGGAUAUAUACCUCACAAAAGCUGGAGAGUUAUCUCAAGAGAUUCUGUGUAGUACAUUAAACAUAUAAUCUGACUUGCAUACUUGGAUCCGAGGGACCCAAAAUCAACGUAAGCCUUUGUCUUAUUUUAUAAGUUGUAUCUGUCAUAGUAUCUGAUAGAUCAGUUAUUUUGUCUUCUUCUGUCUAUGUGUGCAAACAGACAAAGGACCUCAAGAACAAAGAAAAUGCAACAAAUAAUUCUUUUUCCACCAAAUGAAAUUCAAAGGACUUUUCAACGGAAUUAUUCAUAUCAGGCAAAGGGCCAGUGUUCUUGAUUGAAGCUUCUUAACGACUCUAUUUGUGCUGGAACGCUUAUCCAACGUCUCUUAAAUC
Molecule: long non-coding RNA, 496 nt
Filed under: Medicago truncatula (barrel medic)
Lineage: Eukaryota; Viridiplantae; Streptophyta; Magnoliopsida; Fabales; Fabaceae
Description: long non-coding RNA (MTRU_LNC003202)
Source: RNAcentral